Molecule: ribosomal RNA, 522 nt
Filed under: uncultured Glomeraceae
Lineage: Eukaryota; Fungi; Glomeromycota; Glomeromycetes; Glomerales; Glomeraceae
Description: SSU rRNA
Rfam family: Eukaryotic small subunit ribosomal RNA
Source: RNAcentral
AGCAGCCGCGGUAAUUCCAGCUCCAAUAGCGUAUAUUAAAGUUGUUGCAGUUAAAAAGCUCGUAGUUGAAUUUCGGGAUCAAUAUGUCGGUCGUGCCUUCGGUACGUACUGGUAUCAUUGGUCUCUCCUUUCUGACGAACCAUGAUGUCAUUAAUUUGGUGUUAUGGGGAGUUAGGACUGUUACUUUGAAAAAAUUAGAGUGUUUAAAGCAGGCUUUAGCUUGAAUACAUUAGCAUGGAAUAAUGAAAUAGGACGUUCGAACCUAUUUUGUUGGUUUUUAGGAUCAACGUAAUGAUUAAUAGGGAUAGUUGGGGGCAUUAGUAUUCAAUUGUCAGAGGUGAAAUUCUUGGAUUUAUUGAAGACUAACUACUGCGAAAGCAUUUGCCAAGGAUGUUUUCAUUAAUCAAGAACGAAAGUUAGGGGAUCGAAGACGAUCAGAUACCGUCGUAGUCUUAACCAUAAACUAUGCCGACUAGGGAUCGGAUGAUGUUAAUUAUUUAAUGACUCAUUCGGCGCCUUACG